AGCAUUUUCAGGACACCCAGCGAAUCCACUCAGCAGGAGAGCAGGAGACUACACGGACAAAGGUCAGGAUUCACCUUAUUAGAGGAACCGGAGCCCUUGAGGGUUGAAACAAAAGAGAACUACAAUAUUUAAACUGAAAAUGGAAAAUCCUGCAGUGGGUAGUGGACUACACCAAUGGAUUCCUGGCACUGUCUAUCAGUCCCUUGUAACACUGUCGUGUUACACCACCAUCAACAGCAAAGAACUGCUGCCACUUCCAAUCACACCGCAGACAGCAAGAGGACACAGUUUGCACUUGGUUAAAAAGCAAACCAACAUAAAAAAAAAGGACCCGCAGGAAAAUUAACCAACAACUAAAUCGGUCCUUGUUAAAUUAUGAGUUUUGCAGGCAGCUUUCCUGCAGCAAGCCCCUUCGACAUACAGACCGUGGGCUGGGCCACAUCUGAACUAGCAGAGUGCAUCCAGCUGGCAGAGUACAUCAGGCAGCUGUUGACGAGGAAGAAAAAGUAAUUUGCAGCUUUCUGUCUGUUCCCAGGAUUGUCACUGCUGGUGAGAAAGCAUCCUGCUGCAAACACAAAGCUGUCACCAUUGAAAUGACACACCUUACACACUGAAAUGUCCUACACUGAAAUGUCCUUUUACUUUUUACUUGAGCACUUGAAUUACUUUGCAUAUGUGCGAUGGAUAAUCAUCUCCUGAAUAAAGAAAAUGUGGUGUUGACAUUUCA
Long non-coding RNA from Micropterus dolomieu (smallmouth bass), 727 nucleotides. RefSeq lists it as uncharacterized. The record is from RefSeq and is a predicted model, not a curated record. The transcript has 4 exons. NCBI's taxonomy places the organism in Eukaryota, Metazoa, Chordata, Actinopteri, Centrarchiformes, Centrarchidae.